UGGGGAAUAUUGGACAAUGGGCGAAAGCCUGAUCCAGCAAUGCCGCGUGUGUGAAGAAGGUCUUCGGAUUGUAAAGCACUUUCGACGGGGACGAUGAUGACGGUACCCGUAGGAGAAGCCCCGGCUAACUUCGUGUCAG
RNAcentral lists this ribosomal RNA (139 nucleotides) under uncultured bacterium. Its description in RNAcentral is "partial 16S rRNA". It matches the Rfam family "Bacterial small subunit ribosomal RNA", at positions 355 to 511 of the family's 1533-position model. The record is from RNAcentral.